RNAcentral lists this transfer RNA (76 nucleotides) under Azoarcus sp. Its description in RNAcentral is "tRNA-Thr". It matches the Rfam family "tRNA". Rfam says of the family: Transfer RNA (tRNA) molecules are approximately 80 nucleotides in length. Their secondary structure includes four short double-helical elements and three loops (D, anti-codon, and T loops). The record is from RNAcentral. Lineage: Bacteria; Pseudomonadati; Pseudomonadota; Betaproteobacteria; Rhodocyclales; Zoogloeaceae.
GCCCUUGUAGCUCAGUUGGUAGAGCAACGGUUUUGUAAACCGAAGGUCACGGGUUCGAAUCCUGUCGAGGGCACCA